This 419-nucleotide ribosomal RNA is filed under the name uncultured bacterium. RNAcentral's name for it is "bacterial SSU rRNA". It matches the Rfam family "Bacterial small subunit ribosomal RNA", at positions 358 to 774 of the family's 1533-position model. The record is from RNAcentral.
GGAAUAUUGGACAAUGGCCGAGAGGCUGAUCCAGCCAUGCCGCGUGCGGGAGGACGGCCCUAUGGGUUGUAAACCGCUUUUGUUGGGGAGCAAUAAGGUCUACGUGUAGACUGAUGAGAGUACCCAGCGAAUAAGCAUCGGCUAACUCCGUGCCAGCAGCCGCGGUAAUACGGAGGACGCGAGCGUUAUCCGGAUUCAUUGGGUUUAAAGGGUGCGCAGGCGGCCAUGCAAGUCAGCGGUGAAAGCCCGGGGCCCAACCCCGGAAGUGCCGUUGAUACUGUGUGGCUGGAAUGCGGUCGAGGCGGGCGGAACGUGGCGUGUAGCGGUGAAAUGCGUAGAUAUGCCACAGAACGCCGAUAGCGGAGGCAGCUCGCCAGGCCUGCAUUGACGCUCGGGCACGAAAGCGUGGGGAUCGAACA